RNAcentral lists this ribosomal RNA (253 nucleotides) under uncultured bacterium. RNAcentral describes it as "partial 16S ribosomal RNA". It matches the Rfam family "Bacterial small subunit ribosomal RNA", at positions 524 to 776 of the family's 1533-position model. The record is from RNAcentral.
UACGUAGGCAGCAAGCGUUGUUCGGAGUUACUGGGCGUAAAGCGUGUGUAGGCGGUGCUCUAAGUUUGGUGUGAAAUCUCCCGGCUCAACUGGGAGGGUGCGCCGAAAACUGGAGUGCUUGAGUGUGGGAGAGGAAAGCGGAAUUCCUGGUGUAGCGGUGAAAUGCGUAGAUAUCAGGAGGAACACCUGCGGUGUAGACGGCUUUCUGGACCAUUACUGACGCUGAGACACGAAAGCGUGGGUAGCAAACAGG